This 819-nucleotide ribosomal RNA is filed under the name Triticum aestivum (bread wheat). RNAcentral's name for it is "partial small subunit ribosomal RNA". Lineage: Eukaryota; Viridiplantae; Streptophyta; Magnoliopsida; Poales; Poaceae. The record is from RNAcentral.
AUGCAUAUCCUGAAGGACGUAGGCGACCUUGGCGGAGUCGGAGUAGCUGGGAAGCGACAUGCCGCCGGCGGCGAGCGAGAGCUUGGCGGCGCCGAUGGAGGCGACGCCGAGCAUGGGCAGCUCGGCGGGGCUCCACUCGUAGUAGGCGCCGCCGUAGGCCUUGGCCGGCUGCCUCGGGGUCAGAUCCACCGCCAUCGAAAAAGGAGAAGCUGCUACGAUCGAUCGAGAGGUCGGUUGGUUGGGGGGUUGGAGGGUUGCCGGGAGCUGGAGGGCGUGAUCGUAUCGCCGUAUCGGUGCAACGUAGCGGAGCCGCCACGCCGCGUCGUCGUUCCACAGCCUCGCGUGCGUCGGCCUCGCCGACAAGUGCGGCGCGGGCGCGGCGGGCCAUCUCUACGGCCCGAGCAGAGGCAUCAGCGCGACCCCUGUGAGGCUGCUCCCCGCGGCCCCUGCGAGGCUGCUUGCGUCGACGUCGGCACGCUGGAGUUCCGGUCCGUGGUGGAGCCCGUCAGCCGCAUCCAGCCGGCGCUCGCCACCCGCCCCGGAUCAUACUUCUUCCUCGCCAACUGCACCGGCAUCGACACGCGGAAGCACGAGGUGUACUGCACGGUGGCGGCCGGCGGCGAGCAGCUGCCCACCAACCCCUACCGCUUCAGGGUGGCCUACGACAAGCUUGUGAUCGCCAGCGGCGCCGAGCCGCUCACCUUCAACGUCAAGGGCGUCCAAGAGAACGCAAUCUUCCUCCGCGAGGUGAACGAGGCGCAGCAGAUCAGGCGCAAGCUCCUCACCAACCUCAUGCUCUCCGAGAACCCAGGUAGCUAA